This 429-nucleotide ribosomal RNA is filed under the name uncultured bacterium. RNAcentral describes it as "bacterial SSU rRNA". It matches the Rfam family "Bacterial small subunit ribosomal RNA", at positions 29 to 507 of the family's 1533-position model. The record is from RNAcentral.
AACGAACGCUGGCGGCAGGCUUAACACAUGCAAGUCGAACGCCCCGCAAGGGGAGUGGCAGACGGGUGAGUAACGCGUGGGAACGUACCUUUCGCUUCGGAAUAUUCCCGGGAAACUGGGAGCAAUGCCGAAUACGCCGUAUUGGGAAAGAUUUAUCGGCGAAAGAUCGGCCCGCGUUAGAUUAGGUAGUUGGCGGUGUAAUGGACCACCAAGCCUACGAUCUAUAGCUGGUCUGAGAGGAUGAUCAGCCACACUGGGACUGAGACACGGCCCAGACUCCUACGGGAGGCAGCAGUGGGGAAUCUUGGACAAUGGGCGCAAGCCUGAUCCAGCCAUGCCGCGUGAGUGAAGAAGGCCUUAGGGUUGUAAAACUCUUUCGCCGGAGAAGAUAAUGACGGUAUCCGGAGAAGAAGCCCGGCUAACUUCGUG